ACAAUGGGCGCGAAGCCUGAUGCAGCCAUGCCGCGUGUAUGAAGAAGGACCUUACGGGUUGUAAAGGUACUUUACAGCAGUGAGGAAGGUGGAUAUGUUAAUAGCAUACUCAUUUGACGUUAGCUGCAGAAGAAGCACCGGCUAACUCCGUGCCAGCAGCCGCGGUAAUACGGAGGGUGCGAGCGUUAAUCGGAAUUACUGGGCGUAAAAGCGCAUGCAGGUGGUUUGUUAAGUCAGAUGUGAAAGCCCCGGGGCUCAACCUCGGAAUUGCAUUUGAAAACUGGCAAACUAGAGUACUGUAGAGGGGGUAGGAAUUUCAGGUGUAGCGGUGAAAUGCGUAGAGAUCUGAAGGAAUACCGGUGGCGAAGGCGGCCCCCUGGACAGAUACUGACACUCAGAUGCGAAAGCGUGGGGAGCAAACAGGAUUAGAUACCCUGGUAG
This 441-nucleotide ribosomal RNA is filed under the name uncultured bacterium. Its description in RNAcentral is "bacterial SSU rRNA". It matches the Rfam family "Bacterial small subunit ribosomal RNA", at positions 368 to 793 of the family's 1533-position model. The record is from RNAcentral.